This 478-nucleotide ribosomal RNA is filed under the name uncultured bacterium. Its description in RNAcentral is "partial 16S ribosomal RNA". It matches the Rfam family "Bacterial small subunit ribosomal RNA", at positions 28 to 523 of the family's 1533-position model. The record is from RNAcentral.
GACGAACGCUGGCGGCGUGCUUAGCACAUGCAAGUCGAACGGUAAGGCCCUUCGGGGUACACGAGUGGCGAACGGGUGAGUAACACGUGGGUGAUCUGCCCUGCACUUCGGGAUAAGCCUGGGAAACUGGGUCUAAUACCGGAUAGGACCACUGCCUGCAUGGGUGGUGGUGGAAAGCUUUUGCGGUGUGGGAUGGGCCCGCGGCCUAUCAGCUUGUUGGUGGGGUGAUGGCCUACCAAGGCGACGACGGGUAGCCGGCCUGAGAGGGUGACCGGCCACACUGGGACUGAGAUACGGCCCAGACUCCUACGGGAGGCAGCAGUGGGGGAUAUUGCACAAUGGGCGCAAGCCUGAUGCAGCGACGCCGCGUGAGGGAUGGCGGCCUUCGGGUUGUAAACCUCUUUCAGCACCGACGAAGCGCAAGUGACGGUAGGUGCAGAAGAAGGACCGGCCAACUACGUGCCAGCCGCCGCGGUAA